Molecule: long non-coding RNA, 2299 nt
Filed under: Equus caballus (horse)
Lineage: Eukaryota; Metazoa; Chordata; Mammalia; Perissodactyla; Equidae
Description: lncRNA (ENSECAG00000047080.1)
Source: RNAcentral
UGGGGGGGCAGUUGAUUUGCGUGCCAGUGACAAUUGUAUUCUCAGCCAGUCCCACAGCAGCCAGCAGCCCUGGAGCUGGGAAGGCCCUGCAGAGCUGUAAGGGGCCUGGUUUAUACCCCAGCACCCAGCAGUCAUUCUAGGUGGGAUUCCGGGCUCCCUUAUGUAGCCUCAGGCAAGAUGUCUCUCCUCAGCUGAAGGCAAGCAGGCCUCAGGGAAGGACCAGCUGACUGCUGCUCGCCAUCAGCACUCCCCACAGCUGGGGAAAGAGGAUCUCAGUCCUGGAGGGGAUCUGGCAGCACGCCAAAGCAUCCAUUGCAGCCCUCGUCCGUGGCGUCUAAAUGAUGCAGGCGCAUGAGAUCGCACACAUUGAUCCGUUUCCUUCACGCAAGUCUGCUAAUGGCCGAUCUCCUCUUGAAGUGGUCAAAUUCUAAGACUAGACAUGAAAAGAAAAGUAUGAGGUAUCACAGUUACCCUCUCAAAUCCUAGUGAGAUGCUCCUGCCCAGAGAGGCCACGGGAAUGGAAACCAACUGAAGGAACAGAGCCAGGAAGAGCUGCGUGUUCGAGGGGGAGAUGGACACACGAUAAACAUGGAGCACGACAAAUAACGAUAAACACGGAGCAGUGGAGACCAGGUCCACCGAUCCCCAGACUGAGCCGGAUGCUAAGGUCACGUUAGGCAUGGUGAAUUGGCUCCCCCCCAGCGGCCUGUCAUCCCCCCGCACCCUGCGGAAGAGCUGACACACACGUGGGCGUGCACAGACACACUUAAGAUCCUGUGAGAGGGCUCAUAUUGCCAAAUGUUCUUCAGUCACCAUGUGUAGCUGUUGUGAUCACCAUGGUAAUUGACGAGUCUAUCUGGAACAGAUGAUACAGAGAUGCAAGGAAAUGGGUGCUGGACGCUCCCAGGAAUGGCCCGUUGGUAUUUCCUAUGGAGGAGAAGCUCUGGAUGACAUCGUUAAUUUCCUUUUUCUCUUACCUAAGCACCUCUGUUGCUCGAACCCUCUCUACACUCCUUCGCCGAGGCUGCACAGCCCCCAGAUCUUCACAAUGUUUUGAUGCAGUUGCCUUUUGAACUAAGGACCAGGGCAAGAGACGCGGGGAAGAGUUUCCCAGGGGCUCGAAUGGUGUUGGUCACGGAGCCGACGUCCAGAGUGAUGGGUGUGUUGUCAGUCUGAGCACCGGGUCCUGAGGGACAGGAUUCACUCAGGCACCUGCGUGAUGAUGACUAUUUACUUACGACUUACUCAUGUGAUAUGCAGGGCCUGCAGAGCUGAGAGCAGAGACCCUGUUGCUUGGGUCUGAGCCUGAAACAGAUGAUAUGCAUGAAAGGUUCCUUUUUGAGCUGCUUUUCUUUUUGGCUCCAGGAGAAGAAUGAUCUAGAGUCUCCCUAAAGAAAGGAGAAGAAGGAGGAGGACACAGAAAGGAUGGUUUGAGACCAGUGUCCUGCCUCACCUUGUCUCUUGGACCAGUUUAUAGCCCUGAUGCAGGAGGGCACAGCUUGAAGCUGAGGGAGCUGUUUUCCUGAGCUCCACAGCACUGCUUGGGGAUUCAGAGGACCAGGGAAGCACUGAGCGGUGUGCUUUCUUCUUGCACUCGUAGGGCUUCCCUGAUCCAUCAAGAACCAGUCGUGUUGACAGCCCCACUGUCACAGACAUUGGGCUUUUCUUGGAGGACAUCAGCCACAGUGGCAGCAAAGAAGCACUUCUCAAAGGACAGCAGCUCCCUUCAGUUGGAGGUUGUUGAAGACAUGCAAGCCUUAUCUCAGAGCCUUCAAGGACUCCCAGACAGAGGGCUAGUGUGGGUGGGUUUUGUAGGGGAACCCGGAGGUCCUAAGGUGGGGCACCUCACUAUCCACAUUUGUAUUAUUAAUUUCAAUGUGACCAUAUCCCCGGGAUGGUGAAGCGUGGGCCAUUCAGAUGGUAUUGACUAAUAGAACGUUCAGCAGGCGCUGCUUUAAGCAUCUUAAGAAGCAGACGUCCGCCCCGCAUGCGGGGAGCUGUGACUAUCCCUUCCCCUUGGAGAUCCAGGAGCGGGAUUUGCAUUGGAGAUUAAUGUUUGUACCAUUCACUUGAAGCCUUGGGUGACACCUGAAAAAAAAAGGUUAGGUCUGUGAGUUGGAGGCCAAUUUUCCAAGAAAAGAUACUGGUUGCACAAGGGGAAAACUCAGCUCAGGAGAAUGACUAUGUGAGGAGCAAAAAGGUCAAAUAGUGAGAGAAAAAAUGACAUUUGAGUUCCAGGAAGAACCUUACAGAAACAGGGAGAGAAAGAGUUGUCUGCGGGGAGUGAAGGUAUCUUGAG